UGAGGAAUAUUGGUCAAUGGACGAGAGUCUGAACCAGCCAAGUAGCGUGAAGGAUGACUGCCCUAUGGGUUGUAAACUUCUUUUAUACGGGAAUAAAGUUAGCCACGUGUGGCUUUUUGUAUGUACCGUAUGAAUAAGGAUCGGCUAACUCCGUGCCAGCAGCCGCGGUAAUACGGAGGAUCCGAGCGUUAUCCGGAUUUAUUGGGUUUAAAGGGAGCGUAGGCGGGUUGUUAAGUCAGUUGUGAAAGUUUGCGGCUCAACCGUAAAAUUGCAGUUGAUACUGGCGACCUUGAGUGCAACAGAGGUAGGCGGAAUUCGUGGUGUAGCGGUGAAAUGCUUAGAUAUCACGAAGAACUCCGAUUGCGAAGGCAGCUUACUGGAUUGUAACUGACGCUGAUGCUCGAAAGUGUGGGUAUCAAACAGGAUUAGAUACCCUGGUAGUCCACACAGUAAACGAUGAAUACUCGCUGUUGGCGAUAUACGGUCAGCGGCCAAGCGAAAGCAUUAAGUAUUCCACCUGGGGAGUACGCCGGCAACGGUGAAACUCAAAGGAAUUGACGGGGGCCCGCACAAGCGGAGGAACAUGUGGUUUAAUUCGAUGAUACGCGAGGAACCUUACCCGGGCUUAAAUUGCAACUGACUGAACCGGAAACGGUUCUUUCUUCGGACAGUUGCGAAGGUGCUGCAUGGUUGUCGUCAGCUCGUGCCGUGAGGUGUCGGCUUAAGUGCCAUAACGAGCGCAACCCUUAUCGAUAGUUACUAGCAGGUCAUGCUGAGGACUCUAUUGAGACCGCCGUCGUAAGAUGUGAGGAAGGUGGGGAUGACGUCAAAUCAGCACGGCCCUUACGUCCGGGGCUACACACGUGUUACAAUGGGGGGUACAGAAGGCAGCUACACGGCGACGUGGUGCUAAUCCCGAAAGCCUCUCUCAGUUCGGAUUGAAGUCUGCAACCCGACUUCAUGAAGCUGGAUUCGCUAGUAAUCGCGCAUCAGCCACGGCGCGGUGAAUACGUUCCC
This 1017-nucleotide ribosomal RNA is filed under the name uncultured organism. RNAcentral describes it as "bacterial SSU rRNA". It matches the Rfam family "Bacterial small subunit ribosomal RNA", at positions 355 to 1375 of the family's 1533-position model. The record is from RNAcentral.